Molecule: long non-coding RNA, 590 nt
Organism: Syngnathus typhle (broad-nosed pipefish)
Lineage: Eukaryota; Metazoa; Chordata; Actinopteri; Syngnathiformes; Syngnathidae
Exons: 4
Source: RefSeq, a predicted model, not a curated record
AGUGGAGACUGGAUCUCCCGAGUGAAACCACCUGGUGUGUUGCCCUCCCUUCCUACCCCAUUUUCCACACAUCUAUGCACUCAGUGACCAUCUCUGGCCCUGGCCACAUGCCAGGUCACCUUGGGUUUUCCUCACAUCGAAACAGCUUCAGUAGGCCAACACGAAGCAGCGCCUUGGCUGCAACAACUCAGUUAAGCCAUUACAAAGAUGUUCCCGCUCCAUCAUUUAGCUGGAGGAAAAACAGCCAUGUGACAUCAGUACUGCACUGUACUAUAUAAGAAAAUAACGUCACUCUGUGUUAUGAGAUCAUUAACAUACUACAUGGCAGAGAUGUGGGGGUACCCUGCCACCGUUCCAAUACAUCCAUCAGGGUUUUCCUUCCAUUUGGAAAUGAGGUCACCUUUUAAAUGGCAACAUGAGUCAAAUGUCAAACCAGGUUGGGUCAACUGCAGGAAUAUCACCCGGCGGUCUGAAAUUACUUACUGGGUCCGUGUGUGUGUGUAUUUGCGUGAUUGCAAACAGCGGUACAAAAGAGUGAGUGUGUAAGUUAAAAUAGAGUGUGAGACCAGCACAUCGUCCAAAUAAAACAG